Molecule: long non-coding RNA, 1296 nt
Organism: Suricata suricatta (meerkat)
Lineage: Eukaryota; Metazoa; Chordata; Mammalia; Carnivora; Herpestidae
Exons: 4
Source: RefSeq, a predicted model, not a curated record
GAACCCUUUCCCUGAGGACCCAGACGUAUUGGUCUGGGUGCCAUAAUGAAAUAUCGCAGUGUGGGGGGCAUAAAUGACAGACAUGUAUUUUCUCACAGCUCUGGAGUCUGGAAUUCCAAGGUCAAGGUGCCGGCAGGGCUGAUUUCUGGUGAGAACGCUUCCUGGCUUGCAGAUGUCUUGCUGUGUCCUCACGGGGCUUUUCCUCUGUGCUCAGGCAGGCGAGGGGCUGCGGGAGCCUCUCGGCCGUCCCCUCCUCCCUGGUAAGGACUUCAGUCCUAUCAAGUCAGGACCCCACUCUUACGACCCCAUUUAACCCUAAUUACUUCUCUGAAGGCCCCCUCUCUCAACACAGCAACACAAGCGGCUUAGGGCCUAACAAAGGAAUAUUGGUGGGACAUGAUUUAGCCCACACACCGAAUGCCCAUGCCUGUCCUCUCCCCUCCAGGUCUCGCAUCCUAAGGUGGGUAGGACCACAGAAGAGACUUGGUGAUUCAGAGCAUGCGCUCUGUGCCUCCUUCAGGACCUCAGGGGAGAGAGCUGUCCUCUGACUGGGGGCGUGGGAGUGGAGGCUAAGGGGGCGGGUGUUCAGUUUGGGAGGCAUCCGCAUUGGGCCAUGAUGAGUGAGAAGUCACGUGAUCACAGGUGAAUGCCCAUACUAACUACCCAAAGCAAUCUCUAGAUUCGGUGCGGUCCCUAUCAAAAUCCCACAGCGCUUUUCACAGAAAUACAACAAACAGUUCUAAAAUCUGCAUGCCGUCACCACGACACAGAGCAGCCCUAGCAAUCUGGGGAAGGAACAACGCCUUGGCAUCACCUACCUGACUUUUCAGGGGCUGCAAAGAUAAGCGAGACACGAAGGAGGGGGAGACACAUGGGCACACAGCGUCAGAAAAGUUCUUUGCCAGCGUGAGGACUUACUGGUAUUAGAUGUUAUUCUGAGAAAGUGGAGGAGGUCAGCUUCGGGCAGGGGCCACCGCAGCGGGUGUUUCCAGGCUGGGAAGAGGAGGACGGGGGGAGCCCCGUGGGGAGAAACGUGAGGCAGAAGGCAUCAUGGGGUUUCAGGAGCCGGCUGUCAAGCCUAAAUUCCUGGAAACGGACUUUGGAACCGCCCAGAACACGGAAGAAAAACGAUCUUGGGGGAUACAUAUGGGUCAGUAGAGACCCAAGUAGAGAGGGUGAACCGGGGCCCUGACCUCACUCGUUGCCGGCCUCGGACCUCGGCCACUGCUAGGAAGGCUCCUUUUCAAAGCAACUGCUUGUUUUCCUCCCAAUAAAUGUCGUAUGUUCUUCAACAAA